CGCGAUUUGUGCUGGAGCCACAGGCCUGUGAUCGUGCAAAUUGGGGCCCGUCCCUUGGGCCCAACAGGUCUAACGCAAGUCCUCGCGUCCCAGCCUACUGAGUCCUGCAAAUUCAACUCUAAGCCGGUUCGAAACCCAGCCCGCGGUGGUCGGGCGACACCUUCCUGGGCGUGGCCCGCGGGAUACCUCGCGGUCACAGGGGCCCGGGCUGACAGCUGUCACUUCUCAGAAGUCGGCGGGAAGAAGCGCGGAGCUCAAAGGGCUGGGAGGCCGCGGUUAGUAAGGAGCCUGUCCGGCCCUGCUCGGCUCCCGGCUUCUUCUGACAGGCGGAGUGAGUGGGCCGCGGCAUCCUGCAUAGCAACACUGGGCGGCGGAAGUCGUGCCCUCCCCAGGAGGGCAGCGAGGGGGCCCGGAACGUGGGUGACAGCUGCCGCCCGACCGCGCAGGCCCUGGGCGCCUCUGUGGGACCGGGAGCCCCGCGGAGCGGCCGGGGCCCCAGCUUGGCCGGGCAGCGCUAACCUAGGCAGCCUGGACAACCAGAGCUGGGACGCAGACAGAACGCGGGGACCCCUCGCCGCCAAGACCACAAACCAGCCAACCUGAACCCCUGGCACGGGGCUCCUCCGUGACAGGUCCCCCGCCGCCCCCUCAUGGACACGCGAGGCACAGUGUGGCCCCGGCUGCAGCACAGGAGAUGCCCCGGGAGAGGCGGGAAAGACUUUCGGCGGUGCCACACCGCCUUCAAGUCCAAGUCCAGGGACCCACAGCUGCUGCGGAUGCUGGAGAGACAGGGGAGCCCCUCGGUCCUCACCACAGGCCACACCUGGGGAAGCAACUGUGCAACCUUUCGAACUCAGAAAGUGGGCGUCUUUCUGAUAUUUCCUGAUUGGCUGUGGGUCCUUGUUCACAACACUGCUGAUCAUCCUAUCCAAGGUGCACGGUGAUUCUGGAGACUUUACACGUGGAGAUGAGGAAUGUUACUGAAAACUGCAUUAAAGACAACUUUGACUGGAACACGAAGAGAUCACAUCUAAACCUCUUCCAGUAUUAUGUAAAAGAGAGCUCAUGCUAAUGAUGAAACUGAUCAUUUAGCUAAGGAGAUGAAUCUGGAAAGCAUCAGAUUGGGG
Molecule: long non-coding RNA, 1127 nt
Filed under: Heterocephalus glaber (naked mole-rat)
Lineage: Eukaryota; Metazoa; Chordata; Mammalia; Rodentia; Bathyergidae
Description: lncRNA (ENSHGLG00000042841.1)
Source: RNAcentral